This 720-nucleotide ribosomal RNA is filed under the name uncultured bacterium. RNAcentral describes it as "bacterial SSU rRNA". It matches the Rfam family "Bacterial small subunit ribosomal RNA", at positions 75 to 775 of the family's 1533-position model. The record is from RNAcentral.
GGACUUCGGUCCUGAGUAGAGUGGCGAACGGGUGAGUAACGCGUGGGUGACCUACCCUCAAGUGGGGGAUAACGUUCCGAAAGGGACGCUAAUACCGCAUGACAUUCCGGGUUUGAAGACCUGGAAAUCAAAGCCGGGGACCGCAAGGCCUGGCGCUAGAGGAGGGGCCCGCGUCUGAUUAGCUAGUUGGCGGGGUAAUGGCCCACCAAGGCGACGAUCAGUAGCCGGCCUGAGAGGGCGGACGGCCACACUGGGACUGAGACACGGCCCAGACUCCUACGGGAGGCAGCAGUGGGGAAUUGUUCGCAAUGGGCGCAAGCCUGACGACGCAACGCCGCGUGGAGGAUGAAGGUCUUCGGAUUGUAAACUCCUGUUGAUCGGGACGAAAAGCUUCGACCUAACACGUCGGAGACUGACGGUACCGGUUGAGGAAGCCACGGCUAACUCUGUGCCCGCAGCCGCGGUAAUACAGAGGUGGCAAGCGUUGUUCGGAAUUACUGGGCGUAAAGGGCGCGUAGGUGGCCUUCUAAGUCGGACGUGAAAGCCCCAGGCUUAACCCUGGGAACUGCGUCCGAUACUGGGAGGCUUGGAUUCGGAAGAGGGAUGUGGAAUUCCAGGUGUAGCGGUGAAAUGCGUAGAUAUCUGGAGGAACACCGGUGGCGAAGGCGGCAUCCUGGACCGAGAUCGACGCUGAGGCGCGAAAGCUAGGGGAGCAAACGG